RNAcentral lists this ribosomal RNA (373 nucleotides) under uncultured bacterium. RNAcentral's name for it is "bacterial SSU rRNA". It matches the Rfam family "Bacterial small subunit ribosomal RNA", at positions 523 to 898 of the family's 1533-position model. The record is from RNAcentral.
AUACGGAGGUGGCGAAUGUUGCUCGGAAUUACUGGGCGUAAAGGGCGCGCAGGCGGAUGAUCAAGUCAAGAGUGAAAUCUCCAUGCUUAACGUGGAGCUUGCUUUUGAAACUGGUCGUCUGGAGUCAUGUAGGGGAUGACGGAACACCUGGAGUAGCGGUGAAAUGCGUAGAUAUCAGGUGGAACACCGAUGGCGAAGGCUGUCAUCUGGACAAGGACUGACGCUGAGGCGCGAAAGCCGGGGGAGCAAACAGGAUUAGAUACCCUGGUAGUCCCGGACCUAAACGAUGAGUGCUAGGUGUAUGCGCGCGAGCGUAGGUGCCGCAGUUAACGCAUUAAGCACUCCGCCUGGGGAGUACGGUCGCAAGGCUGAA